Molecule: transfer RNA, 73 nt
Filed under: Ovis aries (sheep)
Lineage: Eukaryota; Metazoa; Chordata; Mammalia; Artiodactyla; Bovidae
Rfam family: tRNA
About the family: Transfer RNA (tRNA) molecules are approximately 80 nucleotides in length. Their secondary structure includes four short double-helical elements and three loops (D, anti-codon, and T loops).
Source: Rfam by way of RNAcentral
UCCCUGAUGGUCCAGUAGUUAAGACUCAGCAUUUUCACUGCUAAGGGUCUGGAUUCAAUCCCUAGUCGGGAAA